GCUUGACUGUAUCCUGGAAUGGGGUUCGGGCUUUUCUGCGCAGUCUAGGUGGGAGGCUUGAAGGUUUCCUUCCGGGGAAUGGAGCCAUCAGUGAGAGACCACUCUGGAAAGGCUAGAAUCCUAAUGGUGAUCCUUGAAUCAGGACACUGACAGUUUCAGGUGGGCAGUUUGUUGUUGGGGCGAACGCCUUAUAAGCGUAACUAAGGCGUGCAAAGGUUCCCUCAAUCUGGACGGAAAUCAGAUGUUGAGUGUAACAGGCAAAAGGGAGCUUGACUGCAAGACCUACAAGUCGAGCAGGGCGAAAGCCGGCCUUAGUGAUCCGACGGUGCCGUGUGGAAGGGCCGUCGCUCAACGGAUAAAAGUUA
Molecule: ribosomal RNA, 365 nt
Filed under: uncultured alga
Lineage: Eukaryota
Description: partial 23S ribosomal RNA
Rfam family: Bacterial large subunit ribosomal RNA
Source: RNAcentral